AAGUCGUAACAAGGUUUUCGUAGGUGAACCUGCGGAAGGAUCAUUAGUGAAUUCUGGGAGUCCCUCUUCAUCAGAGAAGGCCCAAUCCACUAUUUCACACACCCUUGUGCAAUUGUCCCCUUUUUAAUAUAACCCUUGUGCAUUUGAAACAAGUUGAUUGUGUAACAAGUUGAUCAAAGAAAGAAAAACUUUCAGCAAUGGAUCUCUUGGCUCUC
RNAcentral lists this unclassified non-coding RNA (215 nucleotides) under Kurtzmanomyces sp. Its description in RNAcentral is "partial internal transcribed spacer region". The stretch from base 1 to 46 matches the Rfam family "Eukaryotic small subunit ribosomal RNA", at positions 1786 to 1831 of the family's 1831-position model. Lineage: Eukaryota; Fungi; Basidiomycota; Agaricostilbomycetes; Agaricostilbales; Chionosphaeraceae. The record is from RNAcentral.